GUUUUUAUUCCGUCAUGAUAAAUAAUUUAUUGAUAGUAACUGUUCAUCCAAAGAAAACGAAUUGUUUUUGUAUGUCUUCAUCUUUUCUUCAUAUCACCAAUAUUUCGUAACCAAACAAACAUAAUGGUACACCUCGAACGAUUCUGCAGCUCUGUAUUUAUCCUCAUCUGCUAAUUCCCGGGACAUGGAAUUCUACAGGAUUUCAAUCAAUUUCCCCACAAGUGUGAUAACGAUGGACAUAUCGUUCGCUGAGGAGAGUUUCCAGUGCUCAGAUCUGUACCAAUAAAAGCAACCCAGAAAAUAUACGAGUGUGGUCGGCUGUAGUUUUAACGUACAUGAUAAAAUGUGUACUUCAGCAAUUCCCACAAAGGAUUCGGUAAAAUUUAUGACAACCAGGGAAGUCGAGACAAUUUUCAAACCGAAAAUUGCAAGGAAUCGAACCCAGCCACCCUCAGAAUGGUCUUGCUUUAUAGCCGCACAUCUUACCACGGCUAAGGAGGCCCCCCGUUUCGUUUGUUAGUUCAGUUGGAAGAGACUGCCCACACAAAAAAGCGUGCGUGAAUUGAACCAGCAAAACUACACAAUGAUUUAAACACGAAAUCGGAAAUACCAAUAACGUUUUCUAUAACGUUAGAGAAAACUGGAGGAUAAAUCGAGUAAAGGCGAUAUUGUGCUUAGAAAACUUUGAAAUUAAUACGAAGGAACUUAUCAAAGUAGCCAAGAUAUGCAUCGAGAACACAUCGAGCUACGGAACUAGUACUACGUUUGAUUGUAUAUGUGGGUUCAAUCACUGGAUCGUCAUGUAACCCCGAACCCCCUUUUUAAAAGCACGUGAUUCUUGGUUCCUUAUAGCCUCAUUAUUGGUACGGAAAAUGGAGAGUGUUCAAUCUUUCAAAAAAUAUGAAAUAAAUAUAA
Long non-coding RNA from Armigeres subalbatus, 915 nucleotides. RefSeq lists it as uncharacterized. NCBI's taxonomy places the organism in Eukaryota, Metazoa, Arthropoda, Insecta, Diptera, Culicidae. The transcript has 3 exons. The record is from RefSeq and is a predicted model, not a curated record.